RNAcentral lists this ribosomal RNA (336 nucleotides) under uncultured bacterium. RNAcentral describes it as "bacterial SSU rRNA". It matches the Rfam family "Bacterial small subunit ribosomal RNA", at positions 28 to 359 of the family's 1533-position model. The record is from RNAcentral.
GAUGAACGCUAGCGGCAGGCUUAAUACAUGCAAAUCGAGGGGCAGCACGAAUAGCAAUAUUUGGUGGCGACCGGCAAACGGGUGCGGAACACGUACGCAACCUUCCUUUAAGUGGAGAAUAGCCCGGGGAAACCCGGACUUAAUACUCCGUAACAUUAUAAAGUGGCAUCACUUAGUAAUUAUAGAUUUAUCGCUUAAAGAAUGGGCGUGCGCCUGAUUAGGUAGUUGGCGGAGUAANAGCCCACCAAGCCUGCGAUCAGUAACUGGUGUGAGAGCACGACCAGUCACACGGGCACUGAGACACGGGCCCGACUCCUACGGGAGGCAGCAGUAAGG